GGCUCUAUGGCUCAGUUGGUUAAAGCGCCUGUCUCGUAAACAGGAGAUCCUGGGUUCGACUCCCAGUAGAGCCU
Erinaceus europaeus (western European hedgehog) is the source of this 74-nucleotide non-coding RNA. The record is from Rfam. Lineage: Eukaryota; Metazoa; Chordata; Mammalia; Eulipotyphla; Erinaceidae.